UGGCCGCGGUACUCUGACCGUGCANAGGUAGCAUAAUCAUUNGUUUUUUAAUUGAAAGCUGGAAUGAAUGGUUGGAUGAAAAAAUAACUGUCUCUAUUUAAAUUUUUUAGAAUUUUAUUUUUAAGUAAAAAAGCUUAAAUUUUGUUAGAAGACGAGAAGACCCUAUAGAGUUUUAUUAAUUUUUUUUAUUUAAUUUUUAGGAUUAAAAUUUUUUUGAUNAAAAUUAAUUUAAUUGGGGUGAUUGAAAAAUUUNAUAAACUUUUUUUGUAUUUAAACAUUUUUUUAUGAAUAUUUGAUCCUUUUUUAAAGAUUAAAAGAUACAAUUACCUUAGGGAUAACAGCGUAAUUUUCUUAAAGAGUUCUAAUCGAAAAGAAAGAUUGCGACCUCNAUGUUGGAUUAAAAUAAA
Molecule: ribosomal RNA, 407 nt
Filed under: Cylydrorhinus aff. patagonicus AM-2018
Lineage: Eukaryota; Metazoa; Arthropoda; Insecta; Coleoptera; Curculionidae
Description: partial 16S ribosomal RNA
Rfam family: Bacterial large subunit ribosomal RNA
Source: RNAcentral